UAGACGAAACUUUGUCCUAUGAGGAGAAACCUGUCCAGAUCCUAGACCGCAAAGUGCGAAGUACGAGGAAUAAGGACGUCAGAAUUGUCAAGGUGUUGUGGAGAAAUCAAACUACCGAGGAAGCCACAUGGGAAGCCGAAGAUGCAAUGCGUCUGAAGUACCCUGAGCUUUUCCAAGAGGUACGUGAGUUACGGGGACGUAACUUUUCUUUUAAGGGGGGGAAGAAUGCGAUAGAAUUUCGCGCUUUCACCCUAAAGUAUGUUAAUUAUGUUGAUUAUGUUAGUUAUAUGCUAGUUAUGUGUGAAAAUUGCUUAUCUAUUGUGUGAACGUUAGAAAACGCUUGUGAAAUUUGGGACUUAGAAGUGCAAAAGAUCGUCGUUAAGACGGGCUACCUCAAAGUUUCGGGACGAAACUUCUUUUAAGGGGGGAAGCCUGUAAUACUCCGUAUUUUUAAUACUAAUUUCGUACUAAUUAAGAAAAUAUAAAAGAAUUAAUAAAAAGGUAUUUUAAUUUUAUUUACAAGUUAAUAGGAAUAAAUUAUUAGUAAUAUGAAUUUGUUAGGAAUUUCCGGAAUUUUAAAAGAGUAACCUAAUCGACCUAGGGUUACUACCUUUUGGAAGGGAGUAUAAAAAGGAAAAGAAGAUGGAAUUUCAGAAAAAAAAAAACCCUAAACCCUUUCUUCUCCCUCUCUCCCAGCCGACUUUUCUCUCUCCUCACUCUCUCCUCAGCCGAUUUCUCUCUCUCCCUCUCUCUCAGAGUUUUCUUUCUCUUUAUCUCGGAUCUCUUUCUCUCUCGCUGUUCUCCCUCUUUCGGGAUUUCUCUCCUUGUGCUCUUCGUCUCCCUCGCCGUGUUGGUGCGAAGGGUGUUCGUGGUUCGAGUGCGCAGGCGAGGAGGGUCGAGAUUCGGUGCGAGCCGGUCGCGAAAGAGCGGUUCGAGGGUUUUGUGUGGUUCGAACGGUGCGCAGGCGUCAAGGGUUGAAAGCUUGCGCGAGUUCGUCGAAGGGGUCGAGUUGUGCGCGAAGGUGUUCGAGGGUAGUGCGCCAAGCUAAGGUGAGGGUGCGCGAGAAAUCGCGUCGUGCGAGUGUAGCUGCGCGACAGGUUGCGAGAAGGUUUGUGUGAGCGUGGUUCCGCGUCGUGCGAGCGUGGUGGCGCGACGGAUCUGGGUCGCGCAAGGGGGUUUGGGCGACGGAAACCGGUUUCGGUGUUGUGCGCGUGUGUGGUGUGGUUUUCGGUCGCCGGAAUUCUUUCGCCGGCGAUUUCUAACGGUCCCAAUUUCAUAAGCGGCUCGUUCUAUUAAGUCAGCGAAAAUUCUCCGUUACAAGACUAGGUGAGCUGGUGCUGCUGCAUGACAUCAAGCAUAUGGGGGCUAGACUGUAGUUUGAAGUUAAUUUUUGGUUUGAUCAUUAAUGAAUUUUAUAGAACAUUAUUACAUGGUUUGAGUUUGAAUAAAGAGGGGUCAUCUAUGAUUCCCGAGUUGUAAUUACAUUUUCUAUUCCGCUGCAAUUUGGUUUUGAGACAA
This is a long non-coding RNA of Beta vulgaris subsp. vulgaris (sugar beet), 1518 nucleotides long. RefSeq lists it as uncharacterized. Lineage: Eukaryota; Viridiplantae; Streptophyta; Magnoliopsida; Caryophyllales; Amaranthaceae. The transcript is spliced from 3 exons. The record is from RefSeq and is a predicted model, not a curated record.